AUUGAACGCUGGCGGCAUGCCUUACACAUGCAAGUCGAACGGCAGCACGGGUGCUUGCACCUGGUGGCGAGUGGCGAACGGGUGAGUAAUAUAUCGGAACGUACCUUAUUGUGGGGGAUAACGCAGCGAAAGCUGUGCUAAUACCGCAUAAUCCCUAAGGGGGAAAGCGGGGGACCGUAAGGCCUCGCGCAAUUAGAGCGGCCGAUGCCUGGUUAGCUUGUUGGUGGGGUAAAAGCCCACCAAGGCGACGAGCAGUAGCUGGUCUGAGACGAUGAGCUGCCCCACAGGAACUGAGAAACGGUCCAGACUCCUACGGGAGGCAGCAGUGGGGAAUUUUGGACAAUGGACGAAAGUCUGAUCCAGCAAUGCCGCGUGAGUGAAGAAGGCCUUCGGGUUGUAAAGCUCCUCUGUCAGUGAAGAAAACUUUAAUAAUAACACUAUUAAAGCAUGACGGUAACUGAAGAAUAAGGACCGGCUAACUACGUGCCAGCAGCCGCGGUAA
RNAcentral lists this ribosomal RNA (502 nucleotides) under uncultured bacterium. RNAcentral describes it as "partial 16S ribosomal RNA". It matches the Rfam family "Bacterial small subunit ribosomal RNA", at positions 30 to 523 of the family's 1533-position model. The record is from RNAcentral.